This 453-nucleotide ribosomal RNA is filed under the name uncultured organism. RNAcentral describes it as "partial 16S ribosomal RNA". It matches the Rfam family "Bacterial small subunit ribosomal RNA", at positions 332 to 801 of the family's 1533-position model. The record is from RNAcentral.
UACACUCCUACGGGAGGCAGCAGUGGGGAAUAUUGGACAAUGGGCGCAAGCCUGAUCCAGCCAUGCCGCGUGAGUGAUGAAGGCCCUAGGGUUGUAAAGCUCUUUCACCGGUGAAGAUAAUGACGGUAACCGGAGAAGAAGCCCCGGCUAACUUCGUGCCAGCAGCCGCGGUAAUACGAAGGGGGCUAGCGUUGUUCGGAUUUACUGGGCGUAAAGCGCACGUAGGCGGACUAUUAAGUCAGGGGUGAAAUCCCGGGGCUCAACCCCGGAACUGCCUUUGAUACUGGUAGUCUUGAGUUCGAGAGAGGUGAGUGGAAUUCCGAGUGUAGAGGUGAAAUUCGUAGAUAUUCGGAGGAACACCAGUGGCGAAGGCGGCUCACUGGCUCGAUACUGACGCUGAGGUGCGAAAGCGUGGGGAGCAAACAGGAUUAGAUACCCCUGUAGUCCCAUGAU